Molecule: long non-coding RNA, 391 nt
Organism: Physeter macrocephalus (sperm whale)
Lineage: Eukaryota; Metazoa; Chordata; Mammalia; Artiodactyla; Physeteridae
Exons: 3
Source: RefSeq, a predicted model, not a curated record
UUCAAAGAGGCUUUUCCUGAGCUUCGUACUUCAGGUCCUCCUAUCUCAGCGCCCUGUUUAUAUGCUCCGUGGCACUUAUUACAACCUAAUCUUUAUUUCCUUCUGUAUGAAAAGACUGGAUGACUCAGAAAAAGAGGCAGAGAAAAGAGGGAGGAAAUCACAGUGAAAUAUUUCAAGAAACGUUCCUAGAAAUGAUGAAGAGAACACCACGCCUAGUGUUUUACUGGGAAAUUUCAAACCAUUAAAUGAUGAAAGGAAAAUUCUAAAAUCUUCCAGACUGGAGGGAAAAAAUGGCGUACAAAGAAUCAGGAAUCAGAAAGGCUUUGGACUUCUCAAGAGCAAAACCAAAGUGAGAAAACAAUGCAUGAAUGUACAGAUGCAGCAAAGACAC